CGAACUAAUGCAAAUGACGCGUCCGAGCGUUUUCCAAUUUGUUUUUGUGAGUUUUUCAUAGAUUUUCGCGUUGUUUUUAGUUAAAUUUGUGCAAAAUUUGUGUUUUAGUAAGUGUUAAGUUUAAUUUACAUCAAAGUUUUAUAAAUUUGUAAGAUUAUCACUGGAAAACAAAAGUGUAAACAGGACGCCAAGGGCCUCUAUGUUCACAAUUUACGUCCCUCGCGGGAGACGAAGAGUAAUGUCGAUUGGAGCAGAAUAAAAAAAUCGCUUAGGCGACCGACAAGUUCAGCCAAUUAUAAACGACAAGCAGCAGACCGUCGCGUUGGCACAAAUUGAGCGCCAUAAUGCAAAGUGAACAAGUUACAAGCUCUUAACAAAUCUAUUAUCUGCAUUCUCCCUUCAUUAAAGGUGCGUUCGAAAAGUUAAAAAGUGGCUCGGAAUGAAUCAUGGCGUGCGAUCCCCAUGAUAUAUUACACCAAAGCUGGCACCAUAAAGCAAACGGCGUGGCACUGCGAUACAACGAUAGCGACACAGGCCCGACAGACACCAGAGAUCGCGUCUGUUUUCAGAACGCAAAAUACAGGGUGUCUAAAAUUAACAAUUCACAGAUAAAAAAUCUGAUACGGCUACGAAAGGUGCAAUGAACAGGCGCGCGUCGAAUAAUUGAAGAGUGGAGCUUUCAACGGUUGCACACAAAAAGAAAGCACGCACACCAAGACGCUCGGGGUUCAUAUUUAUCACUUCACAGCUGCACACCUAUGAUCGAUGCUUAUCCAAGAUGGCCGCCAGCGCACUACGCCACACGCGGGAAAUAUGGGCACGCGCAUCUUCCACAAACAACUAUUGUUUAUAUCUAAUCAGCAAAUUUAGGACACUAGAAUCUCACAAUUGCACUGCUAAACGAACGUGCUCACCCGUACACGAUAUUCGCCUAACUAAAUGCUAAAAAACUUAAAUGUAUUCAAAACUUGAAAGCCAUAAAACAUAUCUCCCCCAUUAUUAGUUUAUGGUUUGCGACUGUUACGGGGCUAUUAUGUUCUUAUUUUUCUGUGUGUACGUUGUUUGUUUUGAUUGUAUGCGGUGGACGGACGAGCCAAUUUAGGGUACCAUUACAAAAUGCUAUUGAGUGGGCCAUAGCUCUUUUACUAUUGUUCAAGGUCGUUUCAGUUAUGACUUCACUAAAAAGCAUUAUAUUUGCUUUGUCUCUUAGACCUACUUGUAUUUCAUAAAAAUUCUUAAAAACAGGUAAGUCUACUGACGCGUAGGCAUGUUAUUAAUAACGAAAUAAUCAAAUUUGCUCUGAAUUAUUAUUGUAAAGUUGAGCAUAAAUCCUAAACAUUUCAGUAUCAAUGAAAACUUCUAUUAUUGUUUUAUUGGCUAUUUGUAUGAAUGACUAAUUCUUUACACAUAGGUAUGUGACUAACAUAACCUUUUAAUAUAAUAAAUCAUAAUCCCAUUCCAUUUUUAAUGAAAGGCCAUUAAAAUAGAAUUUAUAGUACGAUUCAACAAUACAUCUGAGCUGGAAUUCCCUUGAAGUUUGUAAUGCAAGGCAUAUACGUGAAGUGGAGCAACCUUCAAGUCGAUCUCUCAUGAGUCACGGAUGCACGCAGCAUUCUAUAGUGAUAUAUUACGAUGGCUUAGCUUUGCGGUCUAAACUGUUGUUUUGGAAAACAAAUCAAUAUUUUAUGUUGGUUUUCCUGAUGUAUGAGUUGUUCUAUGUGAACUCAGCUCUGUGAAAAUAUUGUUAAGUUUCAAAGAAUAUGUAUUUAUUUACCAUGAAUUGUCUCGUAACAUUGCGUUGGUACUUGGUACCUACAACACGGGUGUCUACAGUCUAAUGUAUUAAAUAUCGUGUACGUAUGUAAUAAUAAUGUAUAAAAAUAUCCAGUUAAACGGAUUAGCAAUUAUAUAAAUGAUACAAUUAUAAUAUAAAUGUUAUUUUCAAAUGCCUAUUGUUAUGAAUUUGUUGCAUGCAUUGCAUUACGAGAUGAUUUAUGUAGAGAUAUUUAAAUAAUAAAUAUAACAACUAUUUUCUGUAACAUUAGAAAAACGAAACAUUACUUAUAUCCUGCUCUAGGAUAUUAAGAUUUUUAAGGAAAAAAAUUGUAAAGUUUGUCUACGUUCCCUCAGGAAUGAAAUAUUGACAAACAUAAUGCUCCAUUUACGUACCUACCUAUAGGUAGAGAAUAAUUACGUAUUAUACAUCAUAAUAAAAAUGAUUCAGAAAACGAUAAAAUUUAAAACAUUAUUAAUAUGUUUAUUAACAUAGCAUGCAUUGAUAGAAACCUGUCUCCUGAAAGACUCCAAUAGAAAUCGAAUCGCAACAAUUUAACAGAAAAAUAAAAAGAAUUACAAAAUGAUACCAGUGCGUCGAUUGCGGAUUCUUCAAGUGAACAACUAGGUAGUGAUUACAAUAUCUCAUUUCCCUUUAAUAAAGGAGCAUUUAAAAUAUUCGGCCUCGAGCGAAAUUCACUCGGCAAUUUUGGAACCUGUUUAGAAAUUAUAGAGUCAGAUCUUGCUUACGUUUAGACGCAUGAGGGGGGACUGAGUGUAAGGAAUGAUUCUUUUAAAAUAUUAUCUACGUAGGUAUGAUAAUUAAAUAAUACAAAAGUUACUUUGUUUUUCUCACUCAAAUAAUUUAUAUAUAAUCAUGAUUAAAUAAAGAAAAGUUUCCACAAGGACUGAAACAUAAUAUAUAUAGGUAAAUGAAGCUCUAUGUCUCUAAGAGAACGAAAUUAUUGGAUGUAGUGCAUGUAUCUAGUGUUUCAAGAAAUAUUAUGUUUAUUCAAGUGUACAAGUCGAUUUAAAAUCGCACAUAAAUUAUUAAAUAAAUAUUAGCAAUUCA
Long non-coding RNA from Colias croceus (clouded yellow), 2845 nucleotides. RefSeq lists it as uncharacterized. NCBI's taxonomy places the organism in Eukaryota, Metazoa, Arthropoda, Insecta, Lepidoptera, Pieridae. The transcript has 4 exons. The record is from RefSeq and is a predicted model, not a curated record.